CCUACGGGAGGCUGCAGUGGGGAAUAUUGCACAAUGGGGGAAACCCUGAUGCAGCGACGCCGCGUGAGCGAUGAAGUAUUUCGGUAUGUAAAGCUCUAUCAGCAGGGAAGAAAAUGACGGUACCUGACCAAGAAGCCCCGGCUAACUACGUGCCAGCAGCCGCGGUAAUACGUAGGGGGCAAGCGUUAUCCGGAUUUACUGGGUGUAAAGGGAGCGUAGACGGUCCUGCAAGCCAGAUGUGAAAGCCCGGGGCUCAACCCCGGGACUGCAUUUGAAACUGUAAGGCUAGAGUGUAGGAGAGGCAGGCGGAAUUCCUAGUGUAGCGGUGAAAUGCGUAGAUAUUAGGAGGAACACCAGUGGCGAAGGCGGCCUGCUGGACGGUGACUGACGUUGAGGCUCGAAAGCGUGGGGAGCAAACAGGAUUAGAUACCCUUGUAGUC
Molecule: ribosomal RNA, 440 nt
Filed under: uncultured bacterium
Lineage: Bacteria
Description: partial 16S ribosomal RNA
Rfam family: Bacterial small subunit ribosomal RNA
Source: RNAcentral